GAUGAACGCUAGCUACAGGCUUAACACAUGCAAGUCGAGGGGUAACGAGAGGAAAGCUUGCUUUCCUUGUCGACGACCGGCGCACGGGUGAGUAACGCGUAUCCAACCUGCCCCCAACUAGGGAAUAACCUUGCGAAAGUAAGACUAAUACCCUAUAAUUUCCUCAGAUGACAUCUGACGAGGAAUAAAGAUUUAUCGGUUGUGGAUGGGGAUGCGUCUGAUUAGAUUGUUGGCGGGGUAACGGCCCACCAAGGCAACGAUCAGUAGGGGUUCUGAGAGGAAGGUCCCCCACAUUGGAACUGAGACACGGUCCAAACUCCUACGGGAGGCAGCAGUGAGGAAUAUUGGUCAAUGGGCGGAAGCCUGAACCAGCCAAGUAGCGUGCAGGAUGACGGCCCUACGGGUUGUAAACUGCUUUUAUACAGGAAUAAAGUUAGCCACGUGUGGUUAUUUGUAGGUACUGUAUGAAUAAGGACCGGCUAAUUCCGUGCCAGCCGCCGCAGUAA
Molecule: ribosomal RNA, 506 nt
Filed under: uncultured bacterium
Lineage: Bacteria
Description: partial 16S ribosomal RNA
Rfam family: Bacterial small subunit ribosomal RNA
Source: RNAcentral